AUCCAGCUGACAAGUCCCAAAUCGGACAAAAUGCGCGUCCUGGAU
RNAcentral lists this non-coding RNA (45 nucleotides) under Schistosoma mansoni. The record is from RNAcentral. Lineage: Eukaryota; Metazoa; Platyhelminthes; Trematoda; Strigeidida; Schistosomatidae.